AGAAUCAACGCUGGCGGCGUGCCUAACACAUGCAAGUCGAACGAGAAAGUGGAGCAAUCCAUGAGCACAGUGGCGCACGGGUGAGUAACACGUGACUAACCUACCCUUGAGUUCGGAAUAACUUCGGGAAACCGAGGCUAAUACCGGAUAAUAUCUACGGAUCAAAGGAGCAAUUCGCUUAAGGAGGGGGUCGCGGCAGAUUAGUUAGUUGGCGGGGUAAUGGCCCACCAAGACGAUGAUCUGUAUCCGGCCUGAGAGGGCGCACGGACACACUGGAACUGAAACACGGUCCAGACUCCUACGGGAGGCAGCAGUGGGGAAUUUUGCGCAAUGGGGGAAACCCUGACGCAGCAACGCCGCGUGGAGGAUGAAAUCCCUUGGGAUGUAAACUCCUUUCGAUCGGGACGAUUAUGACGGUACCGGAAGAAGAAGCCCCGGCUAACUUCGCGCCAGCAGCCGC
This 460-nucleotide ribosomal RNA is filed under the name uncultured bacterium. RNAcentral describes it as "SSU rRNA". It matches the Rfam family "Bacterial small subunit ribosomal RNA", at positions 26 to 518 of the family's 1533-position model. The record is from RNAcentral.